Molecule: long non-coding RNA, 1448 nt
Organism: Lingula anatina
Lineage: Eukaryota; Metazoa; Brachiopoda; Lingulata; Lingulida; Lingulidae
Source: RefSeq, a predicted model, not a curated record
AGAGUGCACAUACACAUGGCCCUAGGCUGAGAAAAAUGCUGGGCGGGAUGGGCAAGAUGACAGAUCAUAUCAAUUUAUUAAUGUUUUUAUGUACAAAUAUGACAAUUAAUUAUUAUUAUUAGUAGUAAUGGUUAGUUGUUAUAUCACACAUGGCUGUCACAAAGAAGAAAGAUGAAAAGACAUGCCCCCCCAAUACAGCCCACUGCUCUUUUCCUGUUUCUUGUAAAUAAAACAUGAAAUCUUGCAAAUAAAAACUAAUUAUCACAAAAUUAUAAUAAUGAUGUACAAAUUCAGUUUGAUGAUAGAUAACAGAGAUUUUCAUUUUAUACUGUGUAUCAAUAUGACAAAUAAUUAUCAUCUUACCUUAUUUUCAUAAAUUCAGGAUCCAAAAGCAGUGCCAAGAGAAUUAAAUGUGAAGAUGGUAUUGCCUCAGAUCCUGAAUCUUGUGAAACACAGUGUGACACGUGUCCAUUGGAACAAAGUGUCAUUAGUGAAGAGAGAAGUUCCCUCAGCUACAAGAUUUUUCGCAAUUGCAGCAAAAUAAGAAAACGGCGAUAUGAACAAUCUGACAGUGAUGAAGAGCUAACAAAAACACUAGAAGAGAUGGAGAACAUAGCCAUGAAGCUCAAUAAGCCUUUAAAGAUCAAACAAGAGAAUGCUUCAAAGGAUGACAAGAAAAACAUCCACAAGGGAAAUGGUACAAGUUUCUUUUUCUUUUUUUUUUUCAAAAGUUUUUACUUAAAAAUUGGAUAUCUGUGAUAGCAAACAAUUAUAACAAGAUCAUUUACAAGUACGGUAUAUAUUCUUAAGGAUAUGUAUAGGGGAGGUGGCUAUCUUCUUUUAAGAAGUUAUAAGUGACAAAGAUGUAACUACCGGUAGAUAUACAAGUUGCAUAUCAAUAUAAAGCAUAUUUUAACAGCUUUCAUUUAAUAUCCUUAUUUUAUACAGUAAUAGUUAUGUAAGGAGAUACAGCACUUAAUAGGCUUUCUUAUCCUGAUCUUUAUACCCUAAUACUAAAACUCCACUGCAAAUGAACAUGUGUAGACAACAUGGUCUGAUAGCCCCCUUGAGCAUCAACAGAGAUGUUUCUCAAAUUCUUAAUAUGCCUUUUUACCAAAGAUAUCCAGAUAUAUAUAGUUGCUAUAUGGAAGGAGAGAAAGAGUUUAUUUUCUCAGUUCAAUAAUUGGUUGGUGUUGGUGGUGAGAGCAGGAGUCACGCUGAAUUGCCUGACCUGGAACACCUUAACUACUGAGCGGUGCGAUAAAUUGAGAAAAUACUGAGAUAGAUACUUGAGUUAGGUUAUCAAUUUUAUAAAGUCGCCAUGGAAGGAUGUCCAUUUCAGUGAACUUUCCCCACCACCCAAAUAAUUUGUUCUGUGGAGAGGACAAGAGUCAUGGUGAGAGUUGGGGUGACAGUGUAAGGCAAUUUAUUCACAAAGCAAAGUUCUG